Small nucleolar RNA from Juglans microcarpa x Juglans regia, 139 nucleotides. RefSeq annotates it as small nucleolar RNA Z247. Lineage: Eukaryota; Viridiplantae; Streptophyta; Magnoliopsida; Fagales; Juglandaceae. The transcript has a single exon. The record is from RefSeq and is a predicted model, not a curated record.
CCUCUUGGAGAAUCUAAAAUCAUCUCCUACAUUCUUGGUGGAUUACAUAAAGAUUACGACUCUGUCAUUACUUUUGUUAAUACUCGCUUGGAGCCUAUGCCUCUUGAUGAAUUGUAUGGUCAUUUGAUCACUCUUGAGA